RNAcentral lists this ribosomal RNA (828 nucleotides) under Hyalinobatrachium aff. bergeri MTDD 46305. Its description in RNAcentral is "partial 16S ribosomal RNA". It matches the Rfam family "Bacterial large subunit ribosomal RNA", at positions 1496 to 2570 of the family's 2925-position model. The record is from RNAcentral. Lineage: Eukaryota; Metazoa; Chordata; Amphibia; Anura; Centrolenidae.
AACUAAUCCCAUCACUAUCAAAGAACCCUUAAAUAAUACUGAACAAUUCUAUAUUAUUAUAGAAGAUUUUAUGUUAAAACUAGUAACAAGAAGAAGAACUUCUCCUACGAUGCAAGUAUAAAUCAGACAGGACACCCCACUGAUAAUUAGCGUCCAUGAACAAAAAUAGCAACCAAGCAAGAAAACCCUAUUAAACCAUACGUUAACCUAACACUAGAGCAUUUCAAGAAAGAUUAAAAGAAAAAGARGGAACUCGGCAAAUAUUAACCUCGCCUGUUUACCAAAAACAUCGCCUCUUGAAUAAAUAUAAGAGGUCCAGCCUGCCCAGUGACCAUGUUCAACGGCCGCGGUAUCCUAACCGUGCGAAGGUAGCGUAAUCACUUGUUCUUUAAAUAAGGACUAGUAUGAACGGCACCACGAAGGUUACACUGUCUCCUAUUUCUAAUCAGUGAAACUAAUCUCCCCGUGAAGAAGCGGGGAUAAAUAUAUAAGACGAGAAGACCCUAUGGAGCUUUAAACUACAAGGCACCUGCUUAAUACAACUAAAUUUCAGAAAACACUCCUACUCAAGCAAGAUGACCUUAGUUUUAGGUUGGGGUGACCGCGGAGAAAAAAAMAACCUCCACAUUGAAAGGAGUCCUACUCCUUAACCAAGAGCCACACCUCUACGUACCAACAAAAAGACAUUAAUUGACCCAAUAUUUUGAUCAACGAACCAAGUUACCCUAGGGAUAACAGCGCAAUCCACUUCAAGAGCCCCUAUCGACAAGUGGGUUUACGACCUCGAUGUUGGAUCAGGGUAUCCAGGUGGUGCAGCCGCUACCAAAG